GUGCCAGCCGCCGCGGUAAGACAGAGGGUGCGAGCGUUGUUCGGAAUUACUGGGCGUAAAGCGCGCGCAGGCGGAUCCUGCAAGUCGGAAGUGAAAUGUGGCUGCUCAACGGCCACGCUGCUUCCGAUACUGCGGAUCUGGGGACCGGUAGAGGCUGGUGGAAUUGCAGGUGUAGCGGUGGAAUGCGUAGAGAUCUGCAAGAACACCCGUGGCGAAGGCGGCCAGCUGGGCCGGAUCCGACGCUGAGGCGCGAAAGCGUGGGGAGCAAACAGGAUUAGAUACCCUAGUAGUCC
Molecule: ribosomal RNA, 293 nt
Filed under: uncultured bacterium
Lineage: Bacteria
Description: partial 16S ribosomal RNA
Rfam family: Bacterial small subunit ribosomal RNA
Source: RNAcentral